AACGAACGCUGGCGGCAUGCCUAACACAUGCAAGUCGAACGAAGGCUUCGGCCUUAGUGGCGCACGGGUGCGUAACGCGUGGGAAUCUGCCCUUUGCUUCGGAAUAACAGUUAGAAAUGACUGCUAAUACCGGAUGAUGUCGCAAGACCAAAGAUUUAUCGGCAAAGGAUGAGCCCGCGUAGGAUUAGCUAGUUGGUGGGGUAAAGGCCUACCAAGGCGACGAUCCUUAGCUGGUCUGAGGGGAUGAUCAGCCACACUGGGACUGAGACACGGCCCAGACUCCUACGGGAGGCAGCAGUGGGGAAUAUUGGACAAUGGGCGAAAGCCUGAUCCAGCAAUGCCGCGUGAGUGAUGAAGGCCUUAGGGUUGUAAAGCUCUUUUACCCGGGAUGAUAAUGACAGUACCGGGAGAAUAAGCUCCGGCUAACUCCGUG
This 433-nucleotide ribosomal RNA is filed under the name uncultured bacterium. RNAcentral's name for it is "partial 16S ribosomal RNA". It matches the Rfam family "Bacterial small subunit ribosomal RNA", at positions 29 to 507 of the family's 1533-position model. The record is from RNAcentral.